This 253-nucleotide ribosomal RNA is filed under the name uncultured bacterium. RNAcentral describes it as "partial 16S ribosomal RNA". It matches the Rfam family "Bacterial small subunit ribosomal RNA", at positions 524 to 776 of the family's 1533-position model. The record is from RNAcentral.
GACAGAGGAUGCAAGCGUUAUCCGGAAUGAUUGGGCGUAAAGCGUCUGUAGGUGGCUUUUUAAGUCUGCCGUCAAAUCCCAGGGCUUAACCCUGGACAGGCGGUGGAAACUACCAAGCUGGAGUACGGUAGGGGCAGGGGGAAUUUCCGGUGGAGCGGUGAAAUGCGUAGAGAUCGGAAAGAACACCAACGGCGAAAGCACUCUGCUGGGCCGACACUGACAUUGAGAGACGAAAGCUAGGGGAGCGAAUGGG